Molecule: ribosomal RNA, 515 nt
Filed under: uncultured bacterium
Lineage: Bacteria
Description: partial 16S ribosomal RNA
Rfam family: Bacterial small subunit ribosomal RNA
Source: RNAcentral
AUUGAACGCUGGCGGCGUGCCUAAUACAUGCAAGUCGAGCGAAUGGAUUAAGAGCUUGCUCUUAUGAAGUUAGCGGCGGACGGGUGAGUAACACGUGGGUAACCUGCCCAUAAGACUGGGAUAACUCCGGGAAACCGGGGCAAAAACCGGAUAACAUUUUGAACCGCAUGGUUCGAAAUUGAAAGGCGGCUUCGGCUGUCACUUAUGGAUGGACCCGCGUCGCAUUAGCUAGUUGGUGAGGUAACGGCUCACCAAGGCAACGAUGCGUAGCCGACCUGCGAGGGUGAUCGGCCACAAUGGGACUGAGACACGGCCCAGACACCUACGAGAGGCAGCAGUAGGGAAUCGUCCGCAAUGGACGAAAGUCUGACGGAGCAACGCCGCGUGAGUGAUGAAGGCUUUCGGGUCGUAAAACUCUGUUGUUAGGGAAGAACAAGUGCUAGUUGAAUAAGCUGGCACCUUGACGGUACCUAACCAGAAAGCCACGGCUAACUACGUGCCAGCAGCCGCAGUAA